GAUGAACGCUGGCGGCGUGCCUAAUACAUGCAAGUCGAGCGAACAGAUGAGGAGCUUGCUCCUCUGACGUUAGCGGCGGACGGGUGAGUAACACGUGGAUAACCUACCUAUAAGACUGGGAUAACUUCGGGAAACCGGAGCUAAUACCGGAUAACAUAUUGAACCGCAUGGUUCAAUAGUGAAAGAUGGUUUUGCUGUCACUUAUAGAUGGAUCCGCGCCGCAUUAGCUAGUUGGUAAGGUAACGGCUUACCAAGGCAACGAUGCGUAGCCGACCUGAGAGGGUGAUCGGCCACACUGGAACUGAGACACGGUCCAGACUCCUACGGGAGGCAGCAGUAGGGAAUCUUCCGCAAUGGGCGAAAGCCUGACGGAGCAACGCCGCGUGAGUGAUGAAGGUCUUCGGAUCGUAAAACUCUGUUAUUAGGGAAGAACAAAUGUGUAAGUAACUAUGCACGUCUUGACGGUACCUAAUCAGAAAGCCACGGCUAACUACGUG
Molecule: ribosomal RNA, 497 nt
Filed under: uncultured bacterium
Lineage: Bacteria
Description: partial 16S ribosomal RNA
Rfam family: Bacterial small subunit ribosomal RNA
Source: RNAcentral